Molecule: ribosomal RNA, 467 nt
Filed under: uncultured bacterium
Lineage: Bacteria
Description: partial 16S ribosomal RNA
Rfam family: Bacterial small subunit ribosomal RNA
Source: RNAcentral
GACGAACGCUGGCGGCGUGCUUAACACAUGCAAGUCGAACGGAAAGGCCCUGCUUUUGUGGGGUGCUCGAGUGGCGAACGGGUGAGUAACACGUGAGUAACCUGCCCUUGACUUUGGGAUAACUUCAGGAAACUGGGGCUAAUACCGGAUAGGAGCUCCUGCUGCAUGGUGGGGGUUGGAAAGUUUCGGCGGUUGGGGAUGGACUCGCGGCUGAUCAGCUUGUUGGUGGGGUAGUGGCUUACCAAGGCUUUGACGGGUAGCCGGCCUGAGAGGGUGACCGGCCACAUUGGGACUGAGAGACGGCCCAGACUCCUACGGGAGGCAGCAGUGGGGAAUAUUGCACAAUGGGCGGAAGCCUGAUGCAGCAACGCCGCGUGCGGGAGGACGGCCUUCGGGUGGUAAACAGCUUUCGCCUGUGACGAAGCGUGAGUGACGGUAAUGGGUAAAGAAGCACCGGCUAACUACGU